GAGCGGGGCCUCAUUACCUAGCGGCAGACGGGUGAGUACACGUACUCAACCUUCCCGAUAGUGGGGGAUAACUAGCCGAAAGGUUAGCUAAUACCGCAUACGAUCUUCGACGCGGCAUCGCUUGAAUAUGAAAGGAGCAAUCCGCUUUCGGACGGGACUGCGUCCCAUUAGCUAGAUGGUGGGGUAAUGGCCUACCAUGGCGACGAUGGGUAGCUGGUUUGAUAGAGCGACCAGCCACUCUGGGACUGAUAAACGGCCCAGACUCCUACGGGAGGCAUCAGUGAGGAAUUUUCCGCAAUGGGCGAAAGCCUGACGGAGCGACUCCGCGUGUGGGAAGAAUGCCUUCGGGUCGUAAACCACUGUCGAAGGGGACGAUAAUGACGGUACCCUUGGAGGAAGCCCCGGCUAACUACGUGCCAGCAUCCGCGGUAAG
This 433-nucleotide ribosomal RNA is filed under the name uncultured bacterium. RNAcentral's name for it is "bacterial SSU rRNA". It matches the Rfam family "Bacterial small subunit ribosomal RNA", at positions 64 to 524 of the family's 1533-position model. The record is from RNAcentral.